UCCCGCAAGGGAUGAGUAGAGUGGCAAACGGGUGAGUAACGCGUGGGUGACCUGCCUUCGAGCGGGGGAUAACGUCCCGAAAGGGACGCUAAUACCGCAUGACAUCCGACCUUUGAACAGGUGGAGAUCAAAGCUGGGGAUCGCAAGACCUAGCACUCGAAGAGGGGCCCGCGUCUGAUUAGCUAGUUGGCGAGGUAAUGGCUCACCAAGGCGACGAUCAGUAUCCGGCCUGAGAGGGCGGACGGACACACUGGGACUGAGACACGGCCCAGACUCCUACGGGAGGCAGCAGUGGGGAAUUGUUCGCAAUGGGCGCAAGCCUGACGACGCAACGCCGCGUGGAGGAUGAAGACCUUCGGG
Molecule: ribosomal RNA, 360 nt
Filed under: uncultured bacterium
Lineage: Bacteria
Description: bacterial SSU rRNA
Rfam family: Bacterial small subunit ribosomal RNA
Source: RNAcentral